UACGGAGGGUGCAAGCGUUAUCCGGAUUCACUGGGUUUAAAGGGUGCGUAGGCGGGUAUUUAAGUCAGUGGUGAAAUCCUAGAGCUUAACUCUAGAACUGCCAUUGAUACUAUUUAUCUUGAAUAUUGUGGAGGUAAGCGGAAUAUGUCAUGUAGCGGUGAAAUGCUUAGAUAUGACAUAGAACACCUAUUGCGAAGGCAGCUUACCACGCAUAUAUUGACGCUGAGGCACGAAAGCGUGGGGGAUCAAACAGGAUUAGAUACCCUGGUAGUCCACGCCCUAAACGAUGGAUACUCGACAUACGCGAUACACUGUGUGUGUCUGAGCGAAAGCAUUAAGUAUCCCACCUGGGAAGUACGACCGCAAGGUUGAAACUCAAAG
Molecule: ribosomal RNA, 381 nt
Filed under: uncultured bacterium
Lineage: Bacteria
Description: bacterial SSU rRNA
Rfam family: Bacterial small subunit ribosomal RNA
Source: RNAcentral